This is a long non-coding RNA of Coccinella septempunctata (seven-spotted ladybird), 571 nucleotides long. RefSeq lists it as uncharacterized. The record is from RefSeq and is a predicted model, not a curated record. The transcript has 4 exons. Lineage: Eukaryota; Metazoa; Arthropoda; Insecta; Coleoptera; Coccinellidae.
UGAUUAGCUGAAUGUUGGAUUAAUAAUACCUAUUAAUAUCAAGAAUUACUUGAGUCGUUGUAGGCAGUGUAGGGCCAUAAUAUCUGCGUAUAAGGACAAGGGAUGCUGUGAUUGGGUUUCAUGCAAUAAUGACAUAUUACCCGAAAGUGAAAUAAAGAUAAAGAUGGGAAUCUUUAGGGAUUCUAGGACAAAAUCCGCGUACCUAUGAAGACAGAUGAUGAUGGGAGUUGGGAGUUAGAGAUUUUGGACUUCAUUUACUCAUUGUGCAGUACUUCCAAGUGCAGUUGAAAUAAGAAGAAAGAACAAGAAUUUGCAAAUUAGAUGGUUCAUUCAAGCAUCCAGCGUGUGAUAGUCUGAAGCCUCUUUCCUGUAUUUACUUCGAAACGUCGGCAUUUUGUUGAAUUGAGGGACUCAAUUCCCCAUUGAACUCUAAAAGUUUUUCUUCUUUUCGAAUUUCUUUUUCUCUUAGAGUUCCAUGCUUUAACCCAGACCAAAAAGGACCCUCUCAAUAGUUAUAUAAAUUUUGUAGUAAUGUAAUCCAGGUUUUUAAAAAUAAAUUCAUUUUAUAUCA